AUUGAACGCUGGCGGCAUGCCUUACACAUGCAAGUCGAACGGCAGCACGGGUGCUUGCACCUGGUGGCGAGUGGCGAACGGGUGAGUAAUACAUCGGAACAUGUCCUGUAGUGGGGGAUAGCCCGGCGAAAGCCGGAUUAAUACCGCAUACGAUCUACGGAUGAAAGCGGGGGACCUUCGGGCCUCGCGCUAUAGGGUUGGCCGAUGGCUGAUUAGCUAGUUGGUGGGGUAAAGGCCUACCAAGGCGACGAUCAGUAGCUGGUCUGAGAGGACGACCAGCCACACUGGGACUGAGACACGGCCCAGACUCCUACGGGAGGCAGCAGUGGGGAAUUUUGGACAAUGGGCGAAAGCCUGAUCCAGCAAUGCCGCGUGUGUGAAGAGGGCCUUCGGGUUGUAAAGCACUUUUGUCCGGAAAGAAAUCCUUGGCUCUAAUACAGUCGGGGGAUGACGGUACCGGAAGAAUAAGCACCGGCUAACUACGUG
Molecule: ribosomal RNA, 486 nt
Filed under: uncultured bacterium
Lineage: Bacteria
Description: partial 16S ribosomal RNA
Rfam family: Bacterial small subunit ribosomal RNA
Source: RNAcentral